This 253-nucleotide ribosomal RNA is filed under the name uncultured bacterium. Its description in RNAcentral is "partial 16S ribosomal RNA". It matches the Rfam family "Bacterial small subunit ribosomal RNA", at positions 524 to 776 of the family's 1533-position model. The record is from RNAcentral.
UACGGAGGGAGCAAGCGUUACUCGGAAUUAUUGGGCGUAAAGGGCUCGUAGGCGAUUUGAAAAGUCUUGUGUGAAAGCCCCGAGCUUAACUCGGGAAGUGCACAAGAAACUGUUGAAUUUGAGUUCCGGAGAGGAAGGCAGAAUUCCCGGUGUAGCGGUGAAAUGCGUAGAUAUCGGGAGGAAUACCAGUGGCGAAGGCGGCCUUCUGGACGGAUACUGACGCUGAGGCGCGAAAGCCAGGGGAGCAAACGGG